This 810-nucleotide ribosomal RNA is filed under the name uncultured bacterium. Its description in RNAcentral is "bacterial SSU rRNA". It matches the Rfam family "Bacterial small subunit ribosomal RNA", at positions 1 to 804 of the family's 1533-position model. The record is from RNAcentral.
UAGAGUUUGAUCCUGGCUCAGGAUGAACGCUAGCUACAGGCUUAACACAUGCAAGUCGAGGGGAAACGGCAUUGAGUGCUUGCACUCUUUGGACGUCGACCGGCGCACGGGUGAGUAACGCGUAUCCAACCUUCCCAUUACUGUGGGAUAACCUGCCGAAAGGCAGACUAAUACCGCAUAGUCUUCGAUGACGGCAUCAGAUUUGAAGUAAAGAUUUAUCGGUAAUGGAUGGGGAUGCGUCUGAUUAGCUUGUUGGCGGGGUAACGGCCCACCAAGGCGACGAUCAGUAGGGGUUCUGAGAGGAAGGUCCCCCACAUUGGAACUGAGACACGGUCCAAACUCCUACGGGAGGCAGCAGUGAGGAAUAUUGGUCAAUGGACGGAAGUCUGAACCAGCCAAGUAGCGUGCAGGAUGACGGCCCUAUGGGUUGUAAACUGCUUUUGUAUGGGGAUAAAGUUAGGGACGUGUCCCUAUUUGCAGGUACCAUACGAAUAAGGACCGGCUAAUUCCGUGCCAGCAGCCGCGGUAAUACGGAAGGUCCAGGCGUUAUCCGGAUUUAUUGGGUUUAAAGGGAGCGUAGGCUGGAGAUUAAGUGUGUUGUGAAAUGUAGACGCUCAACGUCUGACUUGCAGCGCAUACUGGUUUCCUUGAGUACGCACAACGUUGGCGGAAUUCGUCGUGUAGCGGUGAAAUGCUUAGAUAUGACGAAGAACUCCGAUUGCGAAGGCAGCUGACGGGAGCGCAACUGACGCUUAAGCUCGAAGGUGCGGGUAUCAAACAGGAUUAGAUACCCUGGUAGUCCGCACAGUA